RNAcentral lists this ribosomal RNA (433 nucleotides) under uncultured bacterium. RNAcentral describes it as "partial 16S ribosomal RNA". It matches the Rfam family "Bacterial small subunit ribosomal RNA", at positions 29 to 507 of the family's 1533-position model. The record is from RNAcentral.
AGCGAACGCUGGCGGCAGGCCUAACACAUGCAAGUCGAACGAACUCUUCGGAGUUAGUGGCGGACGGGUGAGUAACACGUGGGAACGUGCCUUUUGGUUCGGAAUAACUCAGGGAAACUUGUGCUAAUACCGAAUGUGCCCUUCGGGGGAAAGAUUUAUCGCCAUUAGAGCGGCCCGCGUCUGAUUAGCUAGUUGGUGAGGUAACGGCUCACCAAGGCGACGAUCAGUAGCUGGUCUGAGAGGAUGGCCAGCCACACUGGGAAUGAGACACGGCCCAGACUCCUACGGGAGGCAGCAGUGGGGAAUCUUGCGCAAUGGGCGAAAGCCUGACGCAGCCAUGCCGCGUGAAUGAUGAAGGUCUUAGGAUUGUAAAAUUCUUUCACCGGGGACGAUAAUGACGGUACCCGGAGAAGAAGCCCCGGCUAACUUCGUG